This 469-nucleotide long non-coding RNA is filed under the name Pan troglodytes (chimpanzee). Its description in RNAcentral is "long non-coding RNA NONPTRT011105". The record is from RNAcentral. Lineage: Eukaryota; Metazoa; Chordata; Mammalia; Primates; Hominidae.
GAAAUUCUUGAUGAGGGAGAUACUGACUCGAACACAGACCAGGAUGCUGGGAGUAGUGAAGAGGACGAGGAAGAAGAAGAGGAAGAGGGAGAAGAAGAUGAAGAAGGACAAAAAGUAACUAUUCAUGACAAAACAGAAAUUAACCUGGUCUCAUUUCGUCGUACAAUUUAUCUUGCUAUUCAGUCAAGUUUAGAUUUUGAAGAAUGUGCUCACAAAUUGCUGAAAAUGGAGUUUCCUGAAAGCCAAACAAAAGAACUCUGCAACAUGAUACUUGAUUGCUGUGCCCAACAGAGGACAUACGAAAAAUUUUUUGGCUUAUUAGCUGGGCGAUUUUGCAUGCUAAAGAAAGAGUACAUGGAAUCCUUUGAAGGUAUAUUCAAAGAACAGUAUGAUACCAUCCAUCGCUUGGAAACAAACAAGUUGAGAAAUGUUGCUAAGAUGUUUGCUCACCUUUUAUACACUGAUUCAC